CAACCUACCUAUCAGAGGGGAAUAACCCGGCGAAAGUCGGACUAAUACCGCAUAAAACAGGGGCACCGCAUGGUGAUAUUUGUUAAAGAAAUUCGCUGAUAGAUGGGCAUGCGUUCCAUUAGGUAGUUGGUGAGGUAACGGCUCACCAAGCCGACGAUGGAUAGGGGAACUGAGAGGUUGGUCCCCCACACUGGUACUGAGACACGGACCAGACUCCUACGGGAGGCAGCAGUGAGGAAUAUUGGUCAAUGGGCGGGAGCCUGAACCAGCCAAGUCGCGUGAAGGAAGAAGGAUCUAUGGUUCGUAAACUUCUUUUGCAGGGGAAUAAAGUGCAGGACGUGUCCUGUUUUGUAUGUACCCUGAGAAUAAGGAUCGGCUAACUCCGUGCCAGCAGCCGCGGUAAUACGGAGGAUCCGAGCGUUAUCCGGAUUUAUUGGGUUUAAAGGGUGCGUAGGUGGUUUGAUAAGUCGGCGGUGAAAGUUUGCAGCUUAACUGUAAAAAUGCCGUUGAAACUGUCGGACUUGAGUGUAAAUGAGGUAGGCGGAAUGCGUGGUGUAGCGGUGAAAUGCAUAGAUAUCACGAAGAACUCCGAUUG
Molecule: ribosomal RNA, 595 nt
Filed under: uncultured Bacteroidota bacterium
Lineage: Bacteria; Pseudomonadati; Bacteroidota
Description: bacterial SSU rRNA
Rfam family: Bacterial small subunit ribosomal RNA
Source: RNAcentral